UUGUUCAUUUAGCUAAUAAGAGGCCAAUAGCCUUUAAGGAAUCUUUGAGAGAGACUGAGGCAGAUUCUUGUCCAGAGCCCAUAACUCCGGAAAUGUUAGUAAAGGGGUAUGAGAUAGUGUCCUUAAAUUUAAUUCCAGAUUUAGAAGAGGUGCCUGAUGAUCCUGAGUGGAAGAUGAGUAGCAGCCCUACAGAAGUAAUAAAGGAUGAAUAUGCAAAACUUCGUAAGGUUAGGCAUAAUCUUCUAGAAGCUUACCAAAAUGAGUUUUUAAGUACCCUGGUAGCUCAGGCUGUGGACCGCAAGGACAGAUAUAGACCAGUUUGUCACCAGAAGUUGGGCAUUGGUGAUAUAGUACUCAUCAAAGAGCCAAACACUAAAACCAUUAAUUUUCCAUUGGGAAUUGUGAAGGACAUAGAGGAGAAUGAUUUGGGGGAAACUACUGGGGCUAUUAUACUUAAAGGGAAGACUCGUGAGGUGAUUAAAAGACAUGUUACUACUUUAAUUCCUUAUCUUACGGUAGUUCCGGAUGCAUCCUAUCAUUCAGAUAAUGAGGAUAAUCAGAGCUCCCGUAGGUUAUCUAUUAAUGAGAGUUCACCCCAAAGGACUCCCAGGAAAGCUGCCAUUAGGAGCAGAAAUUUGACUAAACUUAUGUUGUAGUUAUAAGGUAUGAUGCAAAUUUCUAGUGGUGAGAAAUUUGCAUCCUGUGCCCUCCAGUGUACAAAAAUAAAUGUAAUUUAUUUUUCUGUAAAAUUUUUUUCUAAUAUUUUCUCAGUUUUAUUCUGUAAUAAUAUUUUCUCACGCAGUUUUGUGUGUUGACUUGAGUGGGGUAAUUUUCGCUGUCAAAUGUUCUGUGUGCAUGACUGUUUUACAUAAAAUGUCUUUACAGGCUUUUUUGGAAGGUAGUUUUAAGUAGUUGCAUAAUGGCCUUAUCUGUUGUUGGGUGGUCUUAAGGACCAAGACAAGCAAUAAUUCUCGGGAACUAAUCUUUGUAUUGGUUUUCGAGCUAACGUGUGAGACGGCGGAGAAAUGGUCGUCAGUGAAUUCUGCUACUUCGACUGUGACUGUAGCUUAAGGGUUCACGUCAUACAACCCUUUUGGACACCGUGAGUGUUGGGCUGCGAGGAAGAACGCUGAGUGGAGGACAGAUUUAUUAGAUAUGGAUCCUGUCUGCGUUUGUGCUUUGAUUUCGGAAAUGGUUCUUCACUAAAUACAGGCUCUCUCUCUCUCCCCAUCUCUGGACUUCGCAUUCUGCAUGAAGCGCAUGAUCGAUAGAAACCCUUCACUUAAGCCAUACAUGCUUCGCCCUUUAGCUAAGUUCGGCGAGUGCUAGUGUUAAAGUUGGAUUGUAUCGGUCAGUGUUAACCCGUUAUACAGAUUGGGUUGGUUUCCGCUGGUGUGGUAGGCUUACCUGGGUGCAGUAACGACCGCUAAUUGUAACCUGACCAAUUUAUCCUCGAUUGGUUAUGAUGCAGAGUCGAUAGCCGAUAACAGAAAGGUCAUUGAAACUAAAGAGGAGCUGGUUAAUUUAAUAUGGUUGUUCGUACUUGAUACAUUUUUAUUAAAAUACUGAAUU
Macrobrachium nipponense is the source of this 1572-nucleotide long non-coding RNA. RefSeq lists it as uncharacterized. The transcript is spliced from 4 exons. The record is from RefSeq and is a predicted model, not a curated record. Lineage: Eukaryota; Metazoa; Arthropoda; Malacostraca; Decapoda; Palaemonidae.